Molecule: unclassified non-coding RNA, 145 nt
Filed under: soil metagenome
Description: partial internal transcribed spacer 1
Source: RNAcentral
UAAUAAGUGUCUUAUGGCACUUUUUAAAUCCAUAUCCACCUUGUGUGCAAUGUCAGUCGAUCUUCUUCAUGGAGAUCGACCAAACAUCAACCUUUAUUUUUUAACUCUUUGUCUGAAAAAUAUUAUGAAUAAACAAUUCAAAAUA